CGCACUGCCUGAACGCAUAGGGACGCACGGCGUACGGCGCCGCCGCCACGCGUUGCCGAUCUUCAUCUCCGACUUCUCUCUUGUGCCGCCCCCGCCGCUACCUUGUUCUCCUUCCCCUCCCCACCCAGCCCCAAUCUUCCCCGGCGCCACCCUCAGCCUCCUCCACGUCCAACCUCCCUCCGGCGGCCGUGUCCGUUUUGGAUCGGAUCCGCGUAGGAGACCUACUCCAACACGUAGCCAUGGGUGUUCGACCUGGACUCCGCAUAGAAUUCGCUGGUAUUAGACGAAAGCCUCGAUUAGAAAUCCAACUAAAUUGCAUUGCAAGUCUGCAAGUUUGGAACUGUCCAAUGUCGCCUCCACCCACUUUGCCGGAAGACCACCCAAUGUCGCCUCUGUCGACUUCGCCGGAAGACAAUCCGCUGUCCAACAAUGUUCCACAGUUCGCUGAAACUUCGUCGGCCGGUUCUCCACUUGAGAGUCUCUCUCCAUGAACACCAUAUGUCGUCCGCCCAUACUCCACACUUCGCCGGAACUCCGUCUGUCGGUUCUCCACUUGAGGUAUGUAUGAAGCUAACCUUGGAAUUUCCGGAUAGUCGUCUACACGCCCAUGUUUUGUUUGCACCAGGUCAGGUCAUACUCCUUUAGUACGUUUUUUUUACUUUUUUGCUGGGAGGCUUAGCGAUGUAAUAUGACGAUGUUCUUCAGUCAGCACUACUACAGCAUGCUCCUCCCUUUACUUGUAUUUGUAGGGUGCCCAGUAGUUUGUUCUACUAUUGAAAGUAUUUUCUUCAGUUGCGGAAAUGUAAGCUUGGGUACCAAUUUUACACCAAAUUUGUGUCGAACUAUCGAUAGUGAAUGUCUAAACUUGAAUGCUAGACCUACUUAUGGUUAAUAGAUCUUGUUGUUCUCAAGACUCAACUAUGGAUGUCAAAAUGUAGAUACUGGAUGUCUAAACUUGAGUGCUAGACCUACUUAUGGUUAAUAAAUCCUGUUGUUCUCAAGACAUAACUAUAGAUGAACAAUUUUGCAAACUUUGUCUGUUGGCAUAGACUCAAGCAAGCACCUCUUUGAGUUGUACUUGCCAGAUUUAGGAGUUAGUUAAUCCUCUUUGUUCCUAUUGAUGCACAUGAAUUUGGAUAUAUGAUUAUUGGUUCAUGUUUGAUCUAUGAUAUACACGUGAAUAGGUCGAGAAGGUGGAGCUACAAUUAAGCACUUGUUGUACUGGGUCGGUAUAUGACAUAUUCUCUAUUACCUGAGUCAACACCCACUGCAGAGCAUAGGGCUUGAACAUGGGUAGCAGGCUGGGUGCACGCCCACGCAUACACCUAUAGCAAACUCGACGACCCAUUUCUCAACUAAUCAUAAUUCAUAAUGACAUGACCUCUUCGAAACAUGCUAUUUGCAUAGUAUCUUGAACGAUGUUAUAAAAGAUUAAAUCAUAACUGUAAGAACUGAAGUUUGUUCAGUCUCUUUGUGCAACCAGUCAUGCCAUGGCUUUUCAUAAUUAGGUAACUAAAUAGAUUAAUCAUUAGGUAAAGAUAUACUGAUAUUUAUUUGCAAUGAUUUCAUCUUUCUUUUCACCUCCCUGUUCUUCUUGCUGGUGGUUUUGAUUUUAAUCAAGCAGUCCAAAAGUCUAUUGGUAAACAAUGUUGUGUUAUGUUGCGUUUGUUAGCGGGUCUAAUUAACAAUUUGGGCUCUAGAAAAAUGAUAAAAAUCAUUGUGUUCCAAUUCAAUUAGAGGCUUAUCUGAUACCUAUCAUAUUCUUCGUUCGUUAUUCAGCUUGUUGUUGUGUGUAUGUAGCAAAAUCCCAGAUGCUAUAGCUGAAGCAGCUUUUGUUCGGUCUUGCUCUUCUGUCCAUUUUCUUCAUUUUUAUUAUGACAACAACAUUGUAGUUUAAUUAUGGCUGAUGUGUACGCCAGAAAUAGGCGGAUCCGGAAAUGGUUAAUUAGAUUAGAAUGUAAAAUUUUGUCAUACCGUCACUAUGCAUGUGCUGAAGUUCAAUACAUAGGCAAUCAGCUGAGCUAUUAUUUGUCUUUCAUUAGUUUAUUUUUCUUCUUUCCAUUGGAUGAAGUGUAGAUUCUUUUCCUGGUCUUUUGAUGGUCUGCUAGAGUGUGUUUUGACAAUGCUUUAGGCCAUGUUUGGCUGCUAAGUUAUUUUUAUUGCAGAAAUAAUAUUCAAUUUAGAGACACAGACAUAGCAGACGCGACCAUGUUGUAUCCAAGGUGGCAUCCCCACAUCAUUCAAAUUCCUUUUCUCUGUCAUGCAUAGAUGAACUUAAUUUGGCAGGUGUAGAGUUGUCGGCAGAGGAUAUUACUAUUGUGGCAUGGGUUCACUUCAUAUAUACAAGUGCAGUGUUACCUUUAGAAAUUUCAUGGAAGUAUUUGGUGGUGUUUUCUCGCUCCUGAUUGUAGUCAAUCCUUACGAAGGAUGGUGUAUGGACCAGGCAGCCGUCACGUUCAACUCAACAAGAUUAUUUUUUGAAGUUUUAA
Triticum dicoccoides is the source of this 2489-nucleotide long non-coding RNA. RefSeq lists it as uncharacterized. The record is from RefSeq and is a predicted model, not a curated record. The transcript is spliced from 2 exons. Lineage: Eukaryota; Viridiplantae; Streptophyta; Magnoliopsida; Poales; Poaceae.